Molecule: ribosomal RNA, 3122 nt
Filed under: Ophiostoma novo-ulmi subsp. novo-ulmi
Lineage: Eukaryota; Fungi; Ascomycota; Sordariomycetes; Ophiostomatales; Ophiostomataceae
Description: LSU rRNA
Rfam family: Bacterial large subunit ribosomal RNA
Source: RNAcentral
AUAUAAAUAUAUAAAAUAAUUAGAAAUAUAAAUGAUACUAAAAUAAAAUUUAUACAUAUAUUUAUGUAAGUAUAUAAAGAGACUAUUACGAAAUGUUAGCUAUGUAUUAAAGAGAUAUAUAUUUAACUCAAAAGUGUAGAUAAUAAACUCUAAGAUAAAUCAGAUAAUAAACGAAGUGAAUUGAAUUAUCUUAUUAACUUCAGGAAAAGAAAUCAAAAGAGAUUCUAUGAUUAGCGUGAGCAAAAAUAGAAAAGUCUAAAUAAUAAGUAAAAUGGAAUAAAACUGUUUGAAAAUUUUUAUGGGGAACCUUCCUCAAAGACUAAAUAUAAUACAUAAGCGAUAGUGAAUGAGUACCGUGAGGGAAGAUAUAGUUGAAAUAGUAGUCUUAUAAGCAGCUCGAGUGAAAAUAAGAGCGUACCUUUUGCAUAAUGGGUCACCAAGUUAAUUUUAGAUGUGAGCUAAUAAAAUGCGUAGUUAAACCGAUCAUCUAAAAAAUGAAAAAUAUCUAAAAUUAGACCCGAAUUACAGUGAUCUUACCAUGAUCAGGAUUUUAGGUCCGAACGGGUUAUCGUUGCAAAGAUAUCCGAUGAAUUAUGGUAAGUAUAGUGAAAGACAAUUCUGACUGUAUUAGCUGGUUUUCUGCGAAACCUAUAAUAGUAGGCAAUUUAAUUAACAUCUUAGCAGGUACAGAACUUAAUCUUAGACAAAAUGAAAAAAGUAAAAUUUUUUCAUCAUAUUUUGUAUAUAUCGGGGAAUCAUAUAGAUUUUACCGGUGAGUUUGUGAACUCGGAAUGGUAAAGAUGAAUAUUAAAUUAUCAGACAUAGAAUGAUAAGGUUGUAUGUCAAAAGGGAAACAGCCCAGAACAAGAGUUAAGGUUCCAAAAUUAUUAUUAAGUGAAAUUAAGGAAGUUAAGAUAAAAAUCGACAAGGAGAUUGGCUUAGAAGCAGCCAUAAUUUAAAGACCUCGUAUCAGAGCACUUGUUAAUAUUAAAGCAUCGAAAAUAUAACGGAUCUAAAUAAUAUACCGAAACCUUGUCAAUUAUUAAAAAUAAUUAUUUUUAUUAAUUGGGUAGCAGAACGUUGAGUAAAUAUUAGUAUAAAAAAAUGAUAUUAUAACUCAAGUGAGAAUGGUGACAUGAGUAACGAUAAAGAAAGUUAAUAUAAAUGAAAAUUUUAUUAACAUUCUCGCCUAAAGCUUAUGGUGAUGAUAAGUAACGGCCUCUAAGUUUUUUACCUUAAGGUUAAAAUGAUGAGAAAAACUUUUUACUAAUAAUAAUUAUAUUUUUUUUAAGUGAAAAAUAUACAGGAAACAAUAGUAUAAAAUAACCGUUCCUAGGAACUAGAAAAAGUAAGCUAGUAGAAUAUACGAAGGCGCAUGAGAUAACAAUCUUAAAGGAACUCGGCAAAAUGACUACCGUAACUUAGGGAUAAGGAGGGCUCAUUUAAAUUGAUUAAUAUCAAGUAUAAAAGAAGAGACAUAAAAUAGUGUUGUACGACUGUUUAAUUAAAACAAAGCACUUUGCAAAAGAUGAUAAAUCAAUGUAUUAAGUGUGAUAUCUGCCCAAUGCCGUCAGCUUAAUUAUAGAUAUUAAUAAUAGAAAAUUGGUAUCCAUAAAAAUCCCCGGUGAAUGGCGGUCUUAUUUUGAGGAUCCUAAGGUAGCGAAAUGCCUUGGCCGUUAAAUGCGGUCUUGCAUGAAUGAUAUAACGAUACAACAGCUGUCUCUAAGAUUGACUCAGUGAAAUUGGAAUAACUGUGCAGAUACAGUUUACCUCUAGGUAGACGAGAAGACCCUAUGCAGCUUUACUGUUACUAAUUAUGAGGUAUAAUUCUAACAUUUUUUAGUUUAGAAUUGGUAUCCAUAAAAAUCCCCGGUGAAUGGCGGUCUUAUUUUGAGGAUCCUAAGGUAGCGAAAUGCCUUGGCCGUUAAAUGCGGUCUUGCAUGAAUGAUAUAACGAUACAACAGCUGUCUCUAAGAUUGACUCAGUGAAAUUGGAAUAACUGUGCAGAUACAGUUUACCUCUAGGUAGACGAGAAGACCCUAUGCAGCUUUACUGUUACUAAUUAUGAGGUAUAAUUCUAACAUUUUUUAGUUUAGAAGGUUUAUUGAUUACAAUUUGUAAAUAAUAUAAAAGUGAAAGACCUUUAUUUGUGUGUUAUACUAUCUACUUAAAUGUGAACAGUGAUUAGAAGACAGUUUAUGUGGGGCACAGACCCCUUAAAGAGUAAAAGGGUGUAUCUAAAAAAAAUAACUUUAUAAGUUUAUUUUGUUUUUUAUUGUUUGUAAUUAAUUUAACUUUGUUAUAUUUAAUCUUGUAUUUGUAUUAGUUACAUAUUAUAACAGGUAAGAUUUUAACCUAUUGAGAAAUUAGUUGUAUUAAAAGAUAUUAAUAAAUAAUAUCUUUAAUAGUUAUUAUAAUUUAUAAUUAUUAAUAAUCAUGUUAAAUACUUAUCAAGCUAAAUGGCUAAAUCUUGCCUUACUGUUUGAUUCACAACAAAUCUUACAGUCGCGUAAGCGGGGCAUUAGAUCACAAGAUGCAUUAAGGAAAGAUCUUGGAUUAUUGGAAAAGCUACGCUAGGGAUAACAGGCUAAUUUGCGCAAGAGUGCCCUAAAUGAGUGCGCGGUUUGGCACCUCGAUGUCGGCUUAACUUAUCCUCAUGGACGCAGAAGCUAUGUAGGGUACGACUGUUCGUCGGUUAAAAAGUUACAUGAGCUGGGUUAAAUACGUCGUGAGACAGUAUGGUUUCUAUCUUCUAGAGGAAAUUAGAAUAUAAUAAGGAUUAACCUUGUACGAAAGGAACGUGGAGAACACCUUAUAUCCGAAAGGAAUAGCGGUUUUAUUAACCUCUGGUUUAUCUGUUGUUUAUCUGUCCAGAUAUUAAUUUAGGUAUAAUUUUAAUUAUACAGGGAUGUUGCUUUCACUUAGGUAAAUACAUAAGAUAGGCAUGGCAGAAAAGCUAAGUUAGUCAGAGAUAAAUACUGAAGGCAUAUAAGUAUGAAGCUUACCUUAAGAUAUUUCUUAAUACGUAAAAUAAUAUUACGUGAUAGGCUUAAUUUGUAAUAAUCAAGAGAUUUUAGAUAUUAAGUACUAAUUAAACAUAACUAAAUUUUUUUUUUGUAUCU